RNAcentral lists this ribosomal RNA (406 nucleotides) under uncultured bacterium. RNAcentral describes it as "partial 16S ribosomal RNA". It matches the Rfam family "Bacterial small subunit ribosomal RNA", at positions 30 to 526 of the family's 1533-position model. The record is from RNAcentral.
AUUGAACGCUGGCGGCAGGCCUAACACAUGCAAGUCGAACGAGUGGCGGACGGGUGAGUAAUGUCUGGGAAACUGCCUGAUGGAGGGGGCUAACUACUGGAAACGGUAGCUAAUACCGCAUACCAUCAGAUGUGCCCAGAUGGGAUUAGCUUGUUGGUGGGGUAACAGCUCACCAAGGAGACGAUCCAUAGCUGGUCUGAGAGGAUGACCAGCCACACUGGAACUGAGACACGGUCCAAACUCCUCCGGGAGGCAGCAGGGGGGAAGAUUGCACAAGGGGCGGAUGUCUGAUACAGCCAUGCCGCGUGGAUGAAGAAGGCAUUCGGGUUGUAAAGUACUUUCAGCGGGGAGGCGUUACCCGAAGAAGAAGCACCGGCUAACUCCGUGCCAGCAGCCGCGGUAAUUC